CAAAAAUCUUUUAAAAACUUUCAUCGAUCGCCUCUCAACUUCACAUUUGCUGUAACUUUGUCUAGAUUUGACGGAAUCUUCAUUGGAGUGGGUGAAUCUUUAAUUUGUAAUUCAAAGAAGUAUUAUCCAUAGAUUUGUUUCCCCUUUCCCAAAUCUUGCGAUGCCUCAACUCCAUUUCCAGAUAAGAGAGGAGCCGAAUCAAGAACCAGGGCAGACAGUCAAUCAGUUGCUUCGUUUAAGAUACUCAAAAAAAUUGACAAAGGCUCAGCAUUGCAGAGUUUCAAAGAGAAAGGAACACCUUCGUGGGACCGAUAUUAAAGCUUGGUUUAAGAGAUUCCAUGAUGAUAUCAAGGGAAAUGGUGCACUGCUUGCUGACUAGAUCUAUCAAAACCGUCAAAGAGAAGGAGAUGGGGUUCCACUACGGAGCAAAACCUAUUAAAUUCUCUAUUAAAGUGUUCUGAGUGGGAAGAGAACGAAGAAGAAGAGGACGAGUCAUCAGAUUUACAGUAUGAUUAGGGAUACAUGGAUAACCAUACACAUGUGGAGCUGCUAGAAGUGCUAAAAAAGACUGCAUGCACUGAAGAUAACAAGGGCGAGAGGUUCUCUCUCGCCAUGUUGAUUCUGAUCAAGACUCUACUUCUUCCAAAGUAUGCUACAUAUCGUUUCCCUAAGAAGCUUUUCAAGAGAGCACAGAAUUUGGAGUUGCUGUUGAGUUAUCCAUGGGGGAGAGACUCAUACAUGAUUUUGCUUGACUCAGUUCAAAAGACUGUUCCAUCAUGGCUGGCGAGGAACAAGUAUGAUCUUCAGGUUUCUCGAUAGUAGAUUUGGAAUCAAGUCCACAGCUUCAAAAUGAAUUCAGCUCACUCAACGCUAUGGAGCAACCAACGAAUUUCCUAUGCGAGAAAAAAAAAUUCAUCUGAUGUCUCCUUCAAGUCGCCAAGUUAGGAGCAUAGAGAUGCUUUGCGAUCUUAAAGUUGUAUGUGUCUUACCAUCUAUAGAAGAUGAUCUUGAAACCACUGUGUUUUUUAGAUGACAAACCUGAUGAAUAUCUUAAUACGCUUGUGGACAUUGUAACCAAGGGUUACAAGAUGACAAAAAAGGACUAGGAAAAAGAAACAGUUGACAUUAUAGAGGCAAUGGAUCAUAUAGCUCAGCAAUCUUUCCGGUUAGAACAUCUGCUGUGGGAGCAGGAACAUCUAAUGCGAGAGUAGGAACAUCUGCUGUGGGAGCUGGAACAUCUGCUAUAGAAGCAGAACCAUCUGAUGAACACUCAUGACAAAGCUAAACAAUCUCUACAAAAUAGUUCAAAAUGGACUAAAUGAUAUCAGUUACCGCUUUUCCAACAUAGAUGACAAGAUGGGAAUCAACCAAUGAUCAGAACACUUCCAUUGGUAAAUCUCCUCGCAGAGAUAUUAUUCCAGAACACGGUUUCAAUGAAGAGAUAAAGCAUUCUAAUAAUUCAGGAAAGCUAUCCUAAAAAACAUUCAAAACCUACCUAAAAUUGUAAAGGACCCGCAAAUAUACCUUGAAAAUGUUUAAAAUGUUAAUUUAACAUGUUUGCAGAUACACAGUGAUGGUGUUCAACUCCCUAGUCCGACCCCUCUAGAACACGGUUUUCGUAAUGAUGUAAGCUCUAUGCCUUCUCCAUAAUUUAGGAAAGCAUUUUUCUAAUUCAGGAAAGUUUUCUUAAAAUAUUCCAGAAACCUUACGAAAACUGUAAAAGACACACAGAGAUGCUUUGAAAAAUGUUUAAAAUGUUAAUUGAUGUUCAACUCCCAAAUCUGACCCCUCAAGAAAAUAUUUUCGAUGUAGAGGUAAGUCCUAUGCUUUCUCUCUAAUCUAAAAAGGCAUCCUCUUAAUUUAGGAAAGCCUUCCUAAAAUAUUAACUGACCUUCCAAAAAUUGUAAAGGAAGAGAAUGUUAAUUUAAAAUGGUUUCAGAUACACAGUCAUAAUAUUCAACUCCCCAAUCAGAAGCCUCAAGAACAAGUUUUUAAU
Eutrema salsugineum is the source of this 1996-nucleotide long non-coding RNA. RefSeq lists it as uncharacterized. NCBI's taxonomy places the organism in Eukaryota, Viridiplantae, Streptophyta, Magnoliopsida, Brassicales, Brassicaceae. The transcript is spliced from 4 exons. The record is from RefSeq and is a predicted model, not a curated record.